ACGCACGCUGGCGGCAUGCCUCACACCUGCAAGUCGCACGCGACCUUCGGGUCUAGUGGCGCACGGGUGCGUAACGCGUGGGAACCUGCCCUUAGGUUCGGAAUAACUCCCCGAAAGGGGUGCUAAUACCGGAUAAUGUCUUCGGACCAAAGAUUUAUCGCCUUUGGAUGGGCCCGCGUUGGAUUAGCUAGUUGGUAGGGUAAAAGCCUACCAAGGCGACGAUCCAUAGCUGGUCUGAGAGGAUGAUCAGCCACACUGGGACUGAGACACGGCCCAGACUCCUACGGGAGGCAGCAGUGGGGAAUAUUGGACAAUGGGCGAAAGCCUGAUCCAGCAAUGCCGCGUGAGUGAUGAAGGCCUUAGGGUUGUAAAGCUCUUUUACCCGGGAUGAUAAUGACAGUACCGGGAGAAUAAGCUCCGGCUAACUCCGUG
This 432-nucleotide ribosomal RNA is filed under the name uncultured bacterium. Its description in RNAcentral is "partial 16S ribosomal RNA". It matches the Rfam family "Bacterial small subunit ribosomal RNA", at positions 29 to 507 of the family's 1533-position model. The record is from RNAcentral.